ACCGAGAGAAGCUGGGGAGAGCCAAAGAACGCCUGCUAAACCCUGCAGGUUUACUGGGUUUUUGCAAAACAAUACGAAAUUGAAAUGUCGCAGGCUGCGAAAUAAGGGACGAUGUCGCUAAAUUGGGUGUCGAAAAUCGCUAGAAUAUCAAGGAAUUGGGUAACUCGAUAUAAGUAUUACAGUAAUCUUUGGAUUUAUAAUUCCCGAAAGUCUAUAGAAGUGCUCCUUUACGGAAAAAAGAAGCAAACAGCAAGUAUUCCAUUUAUGAUUACAGUGAAAAUGAAAAAUACAUUGCUGUGUCUUGGAUACAGCAACAAGGAUAUUGGACAUAUGACGCCAUUGUUGGCAAGUAAUAUCAUCAAACAUAGGGUUUUGAAGGAAAAUAAUUCAUCUUUUCAAGUUCAGAAUAACAGAUCAGAUAAGAAAGUUACUGAAAACAUUACAGAAGAAUUGAGAUAGGCAGGUAUUGGGGAACUAAUACUUUAGUUAUCAUUUCUAAUUCUGUGACAAUAACAAUGGGCAGUGUGGGGACCUGUCUUUCAGACAAGACGCACUGUUAAAACAUUGAGUAUGAUGCAAAACAUGAGUUCUUAUUACUAAGUUAACUUGCUACUCAGGAUUUUAUUUUUCUGCACUUGAAAAACAACAGGCACGAUGUCUUUAUGGCACUAACAUUACUUUUCAUGACAGAAAACCUGGCUAUUUAAGCUGGGGUCAAGUCAUCUUGGGAUUUUUCAAAGAUGUACUAGCUCUGUAGAUUGGGAACUUUGAAUGCCUUGUCUUUUACGGCAGAAUCUAUGCUAGGAAUUCUUUAUAUUUUUAAGCAAAAUCUCUGAAAAUCGGCCCACCCCAUGUUUUUUUAUAAUACUUCUGUUUCAUUUUUGUAAUGGUUCUGUGAUUUCUAUAGCCUGUUUAUAAGCUUUAUAACCAGUUUAUAACCAUACAUUACUCACAAAGUCCAUACAUGUGUAAAGAAGUGUAAAUUUUAUUUCAUUUGCUCUAUAAUUGUAUUUUUAUUAUUUAUAUGACAUUUAAAUGACAUUGGUUUUGUUGCAUUAAAUUCUCCAGUACAUUG
Molecule: long non-coding RNA, 1075 nt
Organism: Nematostella vectensis (starlet sea anemone)
Lineage: Eukaryota; Metazoa; Cnidaria; Anthozoa; Actiniaria; Edwardsiidae
Exons: 3
Source: RefSeq, a predicted model, not a curated record